RNAcentral lists this ribosomal RNA (433 nucleotides) under uncultured bacterium. RNAcentral's name for it is "partial 16S ribosomal RNA". It matches the Rfam family "Bacterial small subunit ribosomal RNA", at positions 29 to 507 of the family's 1533-position model. The record is from RNAcentral.
AACGAACGCUGGCGGCAUGCCUAACACAUGCAAGUCGAACGAGACCUUCGGGUCUAGUGGCGCACGGGUGCGUAACGCGUGGGAACCUGCCCUUAGGUUCGGAAUAACUCCCCGAAAGGGGUGCUAAUACCGGAUAAUGUCUUCGGACCAAAGAUUUAUCGCCUUUGGAUGGGCCCGCGUUGGAUUAGCCAGUUGGUAGGGUAAAAGCCUACCAAGGCGACGAUCCAUAGCUGGUCUGAGAGGAUGAUCAGCCACACUGGGACUGAGACACGGCCUAGACUCCUACGGGAGGCAGCAGUGGGGAAUAUUGGACAAUGGGCGAAAGCCUGAUCCAGCAAUGCCGCGUGAGUGAUGAAGGCCUUAGGGUUGUAAAGCUCUUUUACCCGGGAUGAUAAUGACAGUACCGGGAGAAUAAGCUCCGGCUAACUCCGUG